GCUUACUUUGGCAGCGCAUAUACUAACAUUGGAAUGAUACAGAGAAGAUUAGCAUGCCCCUGCAUGAGAAUGACACACAAAAAAGGCCAUGAUGCCAACACCACA
Talpa occidentalis (Iberian mole) is the source of this 105-nucleotide small nuclear RNA. Lineage: Eukaryota; Metazoa; Chordata; Mammalia; Eulipotyphla; Talpidae. The record is from RefSeq and is a predicted model, not a curated record.